This 358-nucleotide unclassified non-coding RNA is filed under the name soil metagenome. RNAcentral's name for it is "partial contains 5.8S ribosomal RNA, internal transcribed spacer 2, and large subunit ribosomal RNA". The stretch from base 1 to 120 matches the Rfam family "5.8S ribosomal RNA", at positions 35 to 154 of the family's 154-position model. The record is from RNAcentral.
GAUGAAGAACGUAGCGAAAUGCGAUAAGUAGUGUGAAUUGCAGAAUUCAGUGAAUCAUCGAAUCUUUGAACGCACAUUGCGCCCGCCAGGACUCUGGCGGGCAUGCCUGUUCGAGCGUCAUCUCUCCCCUCAGGACCCGUCUCCUGGUGUUGGGGCCGCCCCGCCGCCCGGCGGGGGCCCUGAAAGAGAGUUGGCGGGCUCCCUCGUAGGCCCGGGCGUGGUACGCACAGCUCACCUAGGGUCCUCGAGGGCGUCCCAGCCGUCAAGCUCGCCGUCCCCGCCGUGGGACGGCCAACGCAGCUGACCUCGAAUCAGGUAGGAGUACCCGCUGAACUUAAGCAUAUCAAUAAGCGGAGGA